Molecule: ribosomal RNA, 497 nt
Filed under: uncultured bacterium
Lineage: Bacteria
Description: partial 16S ribosomal RNA
Rfam family: Bacterial small subunit ribosomal RNA
Source: RNAcentral
GAUGAACGCUGGCGGCGUGCCUAAUACAUGCAAGUCGAGCGAACAGACGAGGAGCUUGCUCCUCUGACGUUAGCGGCGGACGGGUGAGUAACACGUGGAUAACCUACCUAUAAGACUGGGAUAACUUCGGGAAACCGGAGCUAAUACCGGAUAAUAUAUUGAACCGCAUGGUUCAAUAGUGAAAGACGGUUUUGCUGUCACUUAUAGAUGGAUCCGAGCCGCAUUAGCUAGUUGGUAAGGUAACGGCUUACCAAGGCAACGAUGCGUAGCCGACCUGAGAGGGUGAUCGGCCACACUGGAACUGAGACACGGUCCAGACUCCUACGGGAGGCAGCAGUAGGGAAUCUUCCGCGAUGGGCGAAUGCCUGACGGAGCAACGCCGCGUGAGUGAUGAAGGUCUUCGGAUCGUAAAACUCUGUUAUUAGGGAAGAACAAAUGUGUAAGUAACUAUGCACGUCUUGACGGUACCUAAUCAGAAAGCCACGGCUAACUACGUG